CUUAAGGUGCAGUGUCCGACAGCAAAUACAGAAUUCCAGCUUCCUGAAAUCAACUAACCAGGCUCAAGCACUCUAGGAUCAAAGACUAAUCAUUCAGAUGAGGAACUUUUUGACAUUCCCUAAGAAGAAACAGAAAAGUUCCUCAGCCUGGUGUGUGAAGACCUGAAGUUCCUCUUAUGUGUGACCAAAUCCACUGCAGCAGAAAUAUCCUCACAUCAGCUGUUUCCUGAUGCCAACAAAUGAUUUGGAUGGCACAUUCAACCUGUCUGCCAGGAACAGCCAGGGGAAAUACAGCAAAUACAUAAUGCUCUCCUGGGACCUGACCCUCAUCUUUUCCAGAGCAUUAACACACAAGAAAAUACACAAAUGCUGGUUGGAUUUUGGCCCCCAGUUGCUCAUUUCAGUGCCUGCUACGUGAUCCUUCAAAGGAAAGAAAAGCCUUCACUUGCACAAAUGAACUUGGACUACUGACACCCCAGCUGGUAGGAUACAGCGUAGAACAACAGCACUGUUCACCACAGGAGAAUCUGAGGAACAGAUUUCUGGAAAUCUGUUUGUGACAAUAGAAGGUGUUGGUCAUGGGGAGCCUCUUCCUGAUAACUGUGUCCUGGAAGUCGACUUGCGACACAGGAGAAGC
RNAcentral lists this long non-coding RNA (637 nucleotides) under Apteryx rowi (Okarito brown kiwi). Its description in RNAcentral is "lncRNA (ENSARWG00000007108.1)". The record is from RNAcentral. Lineage: Eukaryota; Metazoa; Chordata; Aves; Apterygiformes; Apterygidae.